UCUGAGGCACUGCGAAUCGAG
Molecule: non-coding RNA, 21 nt
Filed under: Rattus norvegicus (Norway rat)
Lineage: Eukaryota; Metazoa; Chordata; Mammalia; Rodentia; Muridae
Source: RNAcentral